CCCCUAAAUAGGGACUGGAAUGAACGGCUACAUGAAGACUUUACUGUCUCUUGCUGCUAGUCAAUGAAACUGAUCUCCCAGUACAAAAGCUGGAAUAAUCUCAUAAGACAAAAAGACCCUGUGGAGCUUUUAAACCAAGUACACCAAAAUGUUCUAUCACGGUUUUUAGUUGGGGCGACUUCGGAACAAAAUAAAACUUCCGAAACCAUGGAUCAUACCCAUAUCUAAGGCCAACACGCCAAGAUGAGUCAUCUACUUGACCCAGUUUACCACAUACUGAUCAAUGAACCAAGUUACCCCAGGGAUAACAGCGCCAUCUUCUUUUAGAGUCCAUAUCGACAAGAAGGUUUACGACCUCGAUGUUGGAUCAGGACACCCAAAUAGUGCAGCCGCUAUUAAAGGUUCG
RNAcentral lists this ribosomal RNA (406 nucleotides) under Psammodromus algirus. RNAcentral describes it as "partial 16S ribosomal RNA". It matches the Rfam family "Bacterial large subunit ribosomal RNA", at positions 1973 to 2575 of the family's 2925-position model. The record is from RNAcentral. Lineage: Eukaryota; Metazoa; Chordata; Lepidosauria; Squamata; Lacertidae.